UUUAUGGAGAGUUUGAUCCUGGCUCAGGAUGAACGCUGGCGGCGUGCCUAAUACAUGCAAGUCGAGCGAACGGAUGAGAAGCUUGCUUCUCUGAUGUUAGCGGCGGACGGGUGAGUAACACGUGGAUAACCUACCUAUAAGACUGGGAUAAC
This 152-nucleotide ribosomal RNA is filed under the name Staphylococcus aureus. RNAcentral's name for it is "partial 16S ribosomal RNA". It matches the Rfam family "Bacterial small subunit ribosomal RNA", at positions 1 to 147 of the family's 1533-position model. Lineage: Bacteria; Bacillati; Bacillota; Bacilli; Caryophanales; Staphylococcaceae. The record is from RNAcentral.